GCGGCAAAGAAGAAGAAAAAGAAUGGAAAAAAAUAGAGAAAAUAGAAGAAAAAGUGGUGAGGAGAGAAAAUGAACAAAAGUUUGUAAACGCGAAUUAACAAUGGAUUUCUAAUUGAAAAAAGGGCAAGCAUUUUCUCCCCAUAAAUUGGAAGCGGAUUAAAAUAUCGUUGCUAAAUUAGCAACAAAUUUUAAGAUUUGUUACUAACUUUUUU
This 212-nucleotide unclassified non-coding RNA is filed under the name Hevea brasiliensis (rubber tree). The record is from RNAcentral. Lineage: Eukaryota; Viridiplantae; Streptophyta; Magnoliopsida; Malpighiales; Euphorbiaceae.